AUACUCACUUUGGCAGUACAUAUACUAAAUCUGGAACGAUACAGAGAGGAUUAGCAAGGCCUCUGCGCGAGGAUGACACGCAUAUUUGCAAAGCGUUCCAUAUUUUU
Gracilinanus agilis (Agile Gracile Mouse Opossum) is the source of this 107-nucleotide small nuclear RNA. The record is from RefSeq and is a predicted model, not a curated record. NCBI's taxonomy places the organism in Eukaryota, Metazoa, Chordata, Mammalia, Didelphimorphia, Didelphidae.